CUACGGGGGGCAGCAGUGAGGAAUAUUGCACAAUGGGGGGAACCCUGAUGCAGCAACGCCGCGUGGAGGAUGACGCAUUUCGGUGUGUAAACUCCUUUUAUAUGUCAAGAAAAUGACGGUAGCAUAUGAAUAAGCACCGGCUAACUCCGUGCCAGCAGCCGCGGUAAUACGGAGGGUGCAAGCGUUACUCGGAAUCACUGGGCGUAAAGGACGCGUAGGCGGGUUGGAAAGUCGGGUGUGAAAUCCUACAGCUUAACUGUAGAACUGCACUUGAAACUUCUAAUCUAGAGUAUGGGAGGGGGAGAUGGAAUUAGUGGUGUAGGGGUAAAAUCCGUAGAUAUCAUUAGGAAUACCUAAAGCGAAGGCGAUCUCCUGGAACAUUACUGACGCUAAGGCGUGAAAGUGUGGGGAGCAAACAGGAUUAGAUACCCCUGUAGUC
Molecule: ribosomal RNA, 439 nt
Filed under: uncultured bacterium
Lineage: Bacteria
Description: partial 16S ribosomal RNA
Rfam family: Bacterial small subunit ribosomal RNA
Source: RNAcentral